RNAcentral lists this long non-coding RNA (1420 nucleotides) under Homo sapiens (human). RNAcentral's name for it is "non-protein coding lnc-GALNTL5-3:1". The record is from RNAcentral. Lineage: Eukaryota; Metazoa; Chordata; Mammalia; Primates; Hominidae.
GUACUGAGUUUAAAAAUAAGCUGGGGUUAUUUAUAUCUAAUAUGAUUUUCACUUAACAAGAAUUACUAAGGUGCUAGAAAAAAUAUAUGUAUAUAUAAUAUAGUUUAUGAAAUCUUAGUUAUAAAAUAGCCCUUUUUUCCUCCUAAAAAAUUAUAUUCUCUUCAACUUGGAUGCAAGACUCUAUUGUCUAUGCCUUUGAAUACUGCAAUUUUAGAGUGUUGAUUUUGACAUUUUAUUUUAAGGGAUAAGUGAGCAAUUUUUGUUAUCAUUAAAACUUAAAGAACUUGGAUCUUGUCACAAAAACAUCAAAUAAUAGGUAAUUUAAGAGUAAAAUACAAGAGAUUUUUGAGAGAUUGAGAGAGCCUUAGAAUGUGAAAGAAAUGUUAAAAUAGAGUUUUCACUUGGUCAUAGUUUCAAAGAAAUAAAAUCAGUUCUUAGGACUUAAUGAUUUUCUAAUAUAGGAAGUCAAAAGUAUGUAAAAUUUUAUGAGGAAACAAGCUAAUAUCUACUUCAGUUUUCAUUUAAAAAUAUUUUUAAAUAGAGACGUGAUCUCACCAACUUCAAUUUUCAUAAAGUACAAUUUUCAUAAAUCUUUUUCAAAUAGCCAGUGGACAUUUUUAAAGCAUUAAUGGGAAAAUGUCUAGCUCUUUUAUUUAUUUAUAGUUACAUUGGUAAAGCUUUUAUCAAGAAGUAAUACUGAGUUUACCAUUUUGAAUAGACUCUGUAUUUGCUUUUGAAAGAAGUAGUGAGAGAAUUGUAGAUAUUGAAUAACAAACUCCAGCUGCCUAACUGAAAAACUAAAUUCCUUAUAGACUAUCGUAAAGAAUCCACAAAAAACCUAUUAGAGGUAAUAAAUGAAUUUGGCAGUUGCAGGUACUAGAUCAACAGGCAAAAACCAGUUGCAUUUUUAUACUGUAGCAACAAGUGGCCUGAAAAAUGCAGUUAAGAGAUCAAUUUCAUUUACAAUAGCAUCAAAAGUCAUAAAACACUUAAGAAUAAAUUUAGCCAAGGAGCUGCAAGAUUUGUAUGCUGAAAACUGUAAAACAUUGCUGAAAGAAAUCAAAGUAAACCUACACACAUUGAAAGAUAUUCCAGGUUCAUAGAAUGGAAUACUAAAUACUGUUAAGAUGUAGGUAUCACCCAAAGCAAUAUGUAGAUUCAGUGCAAUCCCUAUCAAAAUGUCAGUGGUCUUUGUUGUAAAGAGGGAAAAGGUUAUCCUAAAAUUAAUAUGGAAUUACAAGAGGCUCUGAAUAGCCAAAACAGUCUGAAAAAGAACAAAGUUGUAAGACUCAGACUUUCCAAUUUUAAAAAUAAAUUGGACUACAUCAAAAACAAAAACUUUCGUACAUCAAAUAACAUAUCAAGAAUGUGAAAAAAGGGCUGGACGCAGUGGCUGAUGCCUGUAAUCUCAGCACUUUGG